GAUGAACGCUGGCGGCGUGCCUAACACAUGCAAGUCGAGCGAACGGACGAGAAGCUUGCUUCUCUGAUGUUAGCGGCGGACGGGUGAGUAACACGUGUAUAACCUACCUAUAAGACUGGGAUAACUUCGGGAAACCGUAGCUAAUACCGGAUAAUAUUUUGAACCGCAGGGUUCAAAAGUGAAAUACGGUCUUGCUGUCACUUAUAGAUGGAUCUCGGCUGCAUUGGCUAGUUGGUAAGUUAACGGCUUACCAAGGCAACGAUGCAUAGCCGACGUGAGAGGGGGAUAGGCCACAUGGGAGCGGGACCGCGGACCGGCCUCCUACGGGAGGCACCAGUAGGGAACCUUCGGCAAUGGGCGAAAGCCUGACGGAGCGAGGCCGCGUGAGUGAUGAAGGUCUCCGGUUCGUAAAACCCUGUUAUUGGGUAAAAACAUAUUUGUAAGUAACUGUAGACAGAUUGACGGUACCGGAUAAGAAAGCCACGGCUAACUACGUG
Molecule: ribosomal RNA, 497 nt
Filed under: uncultured bacterium
Lineage: Bacteria
Description: partial 16S ribosomal RNA
Rfam family: Bacterial small subunit ribosomal RNA
Source: RNAcentral